Non-coding RNA from Coturnix japonica (Japanese quail), 769 nucleotides. The record is from RefSeq and is a predicted model, not a curated record. NCBI's taxonomy places the organism in Eukaryota, Metazoa, Chordata, Aves, Galliformes, Phasianidae.
AUAUUAUGCAACCUGAAAAUACUGUGCAGCUGAGCUUCAUAUAGAGUUAGAUCACUGUAACCAUGGAGAAAGCACUAUGAGGAACAGGUUUAUCACAUUGUUUUCACUAUUGCCAGUUGGAUGCAGAACUAAAUAAAAUCAGUGGGACUUUUCAGAACAAGCACUCACUAUCUGCUAUGUAUUAUGUCUUCCCUCCCACCCACAAAGGCACGCCAGGUCAGCGGACCCUGUUCUCCGGAAAAUGGUUUUGGGUGCUUUACACUGUAUGGAGCUGCCCACAGAGCAAUCAUGUUGGAAGUGAAAAAAGAGGAAGAUACAUUUCGUUUCCUCCUCAUAUUUGUCUUCCCCUUAUCUUCAUCCAGAGAUGGUAUCUUUGGUCCUCUUGUCAGAAAAAUUUUCCUAAAAUAGCCUCUGCAGCAUGAAGAGAUGGCCUUUGGAAGGGGCUGUAAAAGAACCUAAGUUUCAUACGUGAAGAAUUUCAACACAGUGAUCCAGCAGAUUAAACUCUCACACUUCUCUGUUCUUGGCCUGAAAGCUGAAAAUGAAUAAAGAAAAUGUGUAGUGAGGUGAGAUGCAAAUGUUAGAUAGUUUUAGUGCUUGUAGAACUUCCAAAUCUUGAUUUGUAAUAUCAGAAGCAGUUAAACAGUUUAACAGUUAUCUUUCUCUGCCACUAACUGGAAAAAAUAAUGUGUUGAACGUAAGUGAAUGCUCACUGCCUAUGUAUACCUGUGUAAGAAUCAAUAAAUGUUUUGCAGUUCUUCAUUCACAA